UACGAAGGGGGCUAGCGUUGCUCGGAAUCACUGGGCGUAAAGCGCACGUAGGCGGAUCUUUAAGUCAGGGGUGAAAUCCCGGGGCUCAACCCCGGAACUGCCUUCGAUACUGGGUAUCUUGAGUUCGGAAGAGGUGAGUGGAAUUGCGAGUGUAGAGGUGAAAUUCGUAGAUAUUCGCAGGAACACCAGUGGCGAAGGCGGCUCACUGGUCCGAUACUGACGCUGAGGUGCGAAAGCGUGGGGAGCAAACAGG
Molecule: ribosomal RNA, 253 nt
Filed under: uncultured bacterium
Lineage: Bacteria
Description: partial 16S ribosomal RNA
Rfam family: Bacterial small subunit ribosomal RNA
Source: RNAcentral